GAUUUCUGGUUGGAUGUGCUUAGCCCGCCAUGGUUUCAUGUGUGAGUGCUGAUGCCUAUCUACCAUCCUUCUAAUUCCUCGCUUGCUCUUCAGUGAGUGGAGCGAGUGGAUUAGAUCUUUUACUUUGAAAAAAUUAGAGUGUUUCAAGCAGGCGUUUGCUAUGAAUACAUUAGCAUGGAAUAAUAAUUUAGGACUUCGGUUCUAUUUUGUUGGUUUCUAGAGCUGAAGUAAUGAUUGAUAGGGAUAGUUGGGGGUGCUAGUAUUCAGUGGCCAGAGGUGAAAUUCUCGGAUUCCCUGAAGACUAACUUAUGCGAAAGCAUU
This 321-nucleotide ribosomal RNA is filed under the name uncultured cercomonad. RNAcentral describes it as "bacterial SSU rRNA". It matches the Rfam family "Eukaryotic small subunit ribosomal RNA", at positions 633 to 955 of the family's 1831-position model. Lineage: Eukaryota; Cercozoa; Cercomonadida; Cercomonadidae. The record is from RNAcentral.